GCAUCCAAAAGGGUAUACUUGUGCCUACACAUCAAUGUACAAGGGCUUAUGGUCUGACACAAACGCGAUUAAACAUUGAACAUGUUUGGUGGACAAAUUAUUGAUUCACUUUUUUGAAAUAGACAUUUAAUGGUUGCAAUGUCUAGUGCUUUUUCUUAAUUUUUGCUUGCAACAACUAAUCUUUUUAGGUCUUUCCAGUGUGCUGCUUUAUGUGCGUGAUAACGGCAUUUGAUUGCGGAUGAUCAAAUUAAC
This 252-nucleotide long non-coding RNA is filed under the name Vigna radiata. Its description in RNAcentral is "long non-coding RNA (VRAD_LNC002428)". The record is from RNAcentral. Lineage: Eukaryota; Viridiplantae; Streptophyta; Magnoliopsida; Fabales; Fabaceae.